This 253-nucleotide ribosomal RNA is filed under the name uncultured bacterium. RNAcentral describes it as "partial 16S ribosomal RNA". It matches the Rfam family "Bacterial small subunit ribosomal RNA", at positions 524 to 776 of the family's 1533-position model. The record is from RNAcentral.
UACGGGGGGAGCAAGCGUUGUUCGGAUUUACUGGGCGUAAAGGGCGCGUAGGCGGCGUGACAAGUCACUUGUGAAAUCUCCGGGCUUAACCCGGAGCGGCCAAGUGAUACUGUCGUGCUAGAGUGCGGAAGGGGCUACUGGAAUUCCCGGUGUAGCGGUGAAAUGCGCAGAUAUCGGGAGGAACACCAAUGGCGAAGGCAGCUCGCUGGGACGGUACUGACGCUGAGACGCGAAAGCGUGGGGAGCAAACAGG